This 201-nucleotide unclassified non-coding RNA is filed under the name Hevea brasiliensis (rubber tree). The record is from RNAcentral. Lineage: Eukaryota; Viridiplantae; Streptophyta; Magnoliopsida; Malpighiales; Euphorbiaceae.
AUCUAAUAUCGCACCCCAUAAAACGAGCCUCUUCCAAAGCCGUGGAUGCAUGACGCCAAUAAAGAACAAAUCCUGCAAGCAAUCACCCAGGCUAGAUAAGAAACAUAAAAAAUGGUAAAUUUAUAGACAAUCUCACCAGAUGCUGGAUCAACCACAAAUGGAAAAGUAAAACCCAUAAUUAAAACCAUGGCAAAUCAAUCG